ACCAAACGCGCCUCAUCUCCCUCUCUCUCUUCCCUUUUAGCUAAACCCUAGCGCCUCCUCCUCCCCCCUUUCUCUCUCCUAGUCCAAAAAUGGCAAAAUUUUAGAUUUUGCAGAGAUUGCACAGUGCUGGUGCGUCCUUAAGCGCGAAACAAUUAAUGCUCACUCUCAUUCUUGUUAAAAUUCAUCCCAAACAUGGUAUUAAGCAUCUGCUUUUACUCUUUUCUUCAAAUUCUAGGUCAAACCUGCAAUUUUAUGUUGAUUUAAUAUCGUAUUACUUUAUUAUUUUCGUGAUUUUUUAUUGGUCUUUGAAUGUUAACUCAGAUCGACCUAAAAUAGGAUGAAUCUGGCCAUAUAGGUUGUUUUACUUUAAAUCUCAGACGUUAAAUUCGUGUAAUGAGAGUUUUCAUUUGAAAAAUGGAUUUGUACCGCAUCGUUCUAUAAAUAGAACCCCAACCUUACAAGUUGAACAAGUUUUUGACAGCCUAAAAGCUAGAAUUUUACAUCCAACUUGAAAUUUAAACUCAGUAGUAUAAUUUUAGACUUAAACUUUCUUUUAAGAGUUGAGCCUCUCAGUCUCUAAAUUUUAUUUACUCUAUCUGUGUUGCCGAGUUUGGGAUUGGAAGCAUCAAAGGCUCCAAAUUCAAUUCUGACACGGUUGCAUAAAAAAAGGCCAACCUGUUCGGAAGGCCCAACAGGCAAUUCUUUCGCAUCAUCGAGUCCGAGAAGAAAAAAGGGAAGCUAACAUAUGUAUUAAAUUCGUAGAUGGCCAAAUCAUGGGUGAAAAUGGCCAACUAGGGGUUUGGUACACCCCUAGAGUAACUUAUCUCUUCAUUUAAGCAUUUAUAUUACAAAUGUUGUAUUAAUGUGCUUGUAAAAGAAAACUUGUAUUUAGUGGAAUCCAUUGGUUAUGAACUAGUCGACUUUAGGCCCUCCAAAUGAUUUUCAAAACCCGGAUUAAGUGCAACAAGUUCAAGAUUUAAAAAACGAUUUCCGUAUGAGCUGAGCAGAAAAACUAAAAUGAUUUUCAAGAUUACGAGUACUAUGGAAUUUUCUAAACCAAAUCAAUUUUGAAACCGAGUGAUAUGUUUUUACAAGUCGAAAGAUGUGAUGGACAAAAAUUUAAAUUUGAAUGGAGUGAUCUUGGGCCAAGCUCCUGCAGUAAAAAUGAAGGAUUUCUUGGGCCAAUGCCCACCUGAAAGCACGAAACAUCUCGGGCCUAAGCCUACUUGAUUUUCAAUAAAAUAGAACAAUUUGGGUCAAAUCCCACUUCACUUUCAAAAAGAAAAGAAACAAAAGAUUGGACUAAGUCCAUUGAACCUCCUUUUCACAAAAGCAUACGGGUUUUUGGGCUCAGGCCCACUGCAAGGCAGAAGCCUGUUUUCAUACAUGCGUAAAUAUAUGUAUGUUUUCCAAAAUAAAUAAAAAUAAACAAUUUUCAUAAAUUAGACUAGUUCAAAUAACUGAAAUAUGCAUUGGUAAUAUGAGGCUUUAGGAUGAGACAUUCUAAAUGUAUUAAACAGAUUGACCCAAAAUCAUGUAUGGGAUUAAGCAUGAAUAGGAUUAUACUCACUCAUUAUAAAACAAAAUUGUUUUAUACCUUUUUGUAUUGUCCUUAUACAUAAAAGUAAACUAUUCGUAUCCGGAUAUGAUAAAUUCAAACUUAAAUAUUCCAUAUAUAAGGGGAUAUAUUUAAUUCUUCUCAAAAUUAAAUGAUAUGCAAUAAAUGGUAGAUUUUAUAAAUGCGGGAAUAAACACGAAAUAAACAGUUCAUGUAAAUACUCAUACAUUGAAAUUUGAAUAUUAACUUUAUAGUACGGAUCCUUAAUACUAGGGUGCCUAACACCUUCCCUAGGGGAUCACCAGAACCCUUACUUAGAAUUUUGAAUUACGAAGGAUUUUUCACCGAAUAUGAAUAAAACCUUCGAAACUACUUUGGCAAUUCUUUUAAAACGAAGUCCGAAAGAGCACCAAUAAGUUCGAAGUAGCUUUCCUUACUGCCCAUGAAAUGCGAACCGUUACAGAUCGCGACUCUGCUGGGGACUUAAAGGUUCCUACCAUAAGGAUUCCAAUAUAAUGUGAGUAUAUUUACUUUAACUGUUUAUGUGUUUACUUUUCCGCAAUUAUUCACUGUCAUUGCAUGCAUAUCAUAACUUUGCUUCUCUUGGCAUUUAUUUUACAUUUUGUUUCAAAGGCGACUUCGUGGAGCAUGCGGUCGUUCCUUCAGUGUAAAACAAAAAUAUUUCUUUUGGAACCGUUAUGAGGCGGGGUUGGUUUGCGGUCGUCCAACAACCCUAACGGUGCAGCCCCAGUUGUCCGCUCGAGUUCCCAGUCUUUUGUGAAAAGCCCACUCUAGUGAAAACUAGGAUAGAGCUAAGUCAAAUCGCUACUGAACUAGAGCAUUUGUACUUCGACGAGCCUUGGGUAUCUGAGACCUACCUAAGGCUCAUUAAGAAAGACCACCCUGUGUUCGGAUGGUCUAUGAUCCGAGAAACAUUGCAUUUCAUUUAUGUGCUAUGUGGAAGCAUGUUUGUGCCUAUGUGAUGAACCAUUGAUCCUAGGGGGACGAGGAAAUCUUAAGUGUGUUUUGUUUUGUAGAUGGAAUGCAGAAUCCAUUUCGACAUUGUUACCGAGGCUCCAGAAUUAUUGAGAGCUUGGUCGGAAUGGUUAGGUGAUGCUCAUCUAAGGAGAAUUAGCUGCACUCUAGGUCAUCUACCCUCUAUCAUGACAAUGAAGGGUCGCUCGGAGCUAAUAGAGGUAUUAGCCGGGUAUUGGAAUGACAAGGAAAUAUUAUUCCAUUUUGGUAAUAUCGAGAUGACUCCGACCCUAGAGGAAACUAGGGAUGCCAUAGACAAUAAUGGAACCUGCCUAAGGAGGCGACCCAAGCCAGAUCAGAAUCUGUUAUUCCCACAAAGGCCCACCAUCGACUAAAUCAUGAAGUUUCUUGCCUUAACCUAGGCGCCCUGAGCAUAAGGACCCACUGUAGCCUUUAGGGAUAUGUACCAGAGGUUCAGGAUGUGACCGGAUAUACCUUAUAUCAGAGGGAGUUCAAGAGUAGAGAAGAAUAAGAAGCUAUUAGACCUUUGGCGUUUACCAUAGCCUUACUAGGCACUGUGGUGUUACCGAAAGAUGAGUCACUGGCCAUAGACACCCAAGUGAUCUACUUGGCCGAGGCUACCUUCUAUGACAUAACCAGGGAUCAGGACACAAGAUACUUCUACUUGGCACUCAUCAUUCUGGCAGAUAUUUUUCGAGCUUUAGACAAAUGCCAGAGUCAUUUCCGAUACUUCUAAGGAUGUAAUAUGCUGUUGCAGUGGUGGAUUAUCAAAUACCUCAACAUGGAUAAAAGGGUUCGAGGUUGGAGUUGACAGAACAGAAUAAACCUCCUUGUAAAUUACUGUCCAACUCUCAGAUUUGUGUCCAAAACUAGUUGGGCUAAUUUCUUCGCUGAGUUGACUAAAGAUAGGAUCUAGUGAAUGUUCCCUGACUUCACAUCUGAAACCAUAGUAGUUCGGGGCUAGAAUUGCCCAUUCGUGAUGUUACAUCCCGUAUUUUGCACAUUCGGAAAAUUUGAAAUAAUUGUGGCUUGUAAGAGAUAAGGCCACAUUUUGAUUUUACUUAGUAUAUAAGUUGUUCAUGAGGAAUAUUGAUGCGAAAAUAUCGAGGGAGGAUAAGGGCAAAAAUUGGAAUUUUGAAAAUUUGUUUCUUGAACUACAAAUGUUAGCCAACUAGUUGGGCUAAAAAAAAAAAAAAAAGAAGAAAAUGAAAGGCCCAAUCUAUGUAGUGUGGCCGGCCAUAUAGAGCCAUGGCCAAGCCCAUGGGAAUUAAUUCAAGACAAUUAAAUAAAUAAGGGGCCAUCCAUCAUUUUCAUUCUAGAGUUUUCAAGAAAACAAAAAAAAGAAGAGAGCACAAAAAAAGAAGCCAUUCGGCUAGAGCAAGAAAAGAAAAAAAUUUUUCAAGCUCUUCAAUCUUGAUCCAAAAAUUUAUUUCUUCAUGUAUUUCUACUAAGUUCAAGGUGCUCUUCAACGUGGUAUAAUUAUUUCAACGAGAAAACUACGUUUGCGGCAAGUGGAAAGUUGAAGAAAAGGUAAGAAUUUCAUGUUCUUAUUAUGUUAUGGAAGGUUAUAUAUGUUGUAGUAUGUGGAAAUGAAUGAAAGUAUGAAAUUUGGGUGUUGUGUAGGAGUGUGUGUGAGUGUGUGUGGCCGUGUGGCAUUGUGUAUUGGAGAGGAGGUGAAUUCAUUUUAUUUAGUGUAUUAAUUGAGUUGUAAUGGCUUUUUUAUGCAAAUGGAAGAAUUCUAGUUCAAGUUAGCAUGAAAAAUUUGUUGUUGAGUUGUUGACGGAAAGUAUGUGAUUUUAUUAUAAAUUAUGUAAUUGAGGAAAUGGAGUUGUAAGAUGCAAAUUGUGGUUGUUGUUAAUGAAACUGGGAGAUAAAAAUGUGUUGUGAAUGUUUAUGUUGAAGAUUGGAGGUUUUGGGUGGAUUAUGGUUUUGGUGGAACUUUUGUAUAUUUUGUAGAAUAAUGUGAAAUGCUUUCGAAUUGUAUUUGAAUGGUCUUGAAUUAGUGAAUGAAUAUGAAAACGUUGACAUUAGUUUGAAAGUAUGAAGUUGGGGUAGAAGUUGUUGCAUUAUGUAGAAAGGAAGACUAUUUAUAUUAGAAUGUGUUUUGUAGUGAUUGUGAAUGUUGUUGGUAUUGCUGUGGGUGUUGUUGUUGAUAUUUUGGCCGAGUUAAAUUCUCGGGGAUGUUGAAUAUAUAGGGGAGAUGCUGCCCAAAUUUCUGUAAACAAGUAUGGAUUAAAAAUUGAACUUCUAAAGGCUUUUAAUUAAUGUUUGGUAAAUGUGACCAAUUGUAGAUUUUGGAGAGUUUGGAGCUUGAAUUUGGAGUAGCGUAAGAAGCGGAAAAGGUACAGACGCUCCUUGUGAUACGACGCCGGCUUAGGAUACCCGUUCUGCUGCUUGGAGUGCUCCUUUGUCCUGGAGCCCGUGUUUUUGGGUACAGACCUUUUUAUUGUAUAUAUAUUUUUGUAUUUAUGGCUGUUUAGGGGUACGGCGGGGCCCUGUCCCGUCAUCUGAUUCUGUUAUCUCUGUUAGAGGCCUGUAGACAUGUAUGUGGGUUAUGGGUCAUUGUUGGUCAAGUACGUCUGUGUGAUUUGUCGCGUGUGCCGCCCGUAUGUUAUAACAGCCUUAACGGCUUAUGUAUAUGUUUAUGUAUGUAUAGGUUUUUGUGCGAUUUGCCUUACAUCUGUAUAAAUCUGUGCGUAUUAAAUCUGGAUUAGUUAUUUGGAUGCCAACUCUGGUAGGUAGGUAUAUGUGGGUGCCUAGCUCUGGCACUAGUCACGGCCCACGGGGUUGGGUCGUGACACGUGCCAUUAGUCGGGGUUCGAGGAAUCCGUCCUUAUUAUGUAUCUCGAGUUUUAAGGAAAUUUGGUAGAAGGCAAGUGAUACCCCUAAUAGGGAACACCGAACAAUUUAUUAUCGAGCAUAUAGAACAGAAAAUUAAAAAUGCUACUACAAUCCUCAGGGAGUGGAAUGGUCGUGUGAGUUGGGGUCCAGAUACUUUUGCUCCAGAUAGGUUCGAAGCAGGGUGUUACCCAGGGUAUUAUGAGUGGUUACAGGGACACUUGGCCCGUGCAUCCAUUGCAGUACCCACACUUCAUCAUGAUGCUCGAGAAGAGGAGCAUUUGAAAGAAUGUUUUGAAAACACAGAUGAGCACUUUGCCAAGAUUUUGGAAGAAACAGACUCGGUGAUAGUCAGAAUAGAGAUGUAUCAGACACUCCUUCGUAUUCAGACCACCCUUCAGAGGGUCAAGAAGGCCAAGACAAACCAAGCCUCGAUAUCAGCCGCUGGAAGAGGACCAUAUUAAUUUACUGCUUUAUUAUAAGACCCAUGUCGGCUUCAUCAUCUUUGUAAUCCCUUCGGGGAAGAUAUUUUUAUUAUUUAUUA
Long non-coding RNA from Lycium barbarum (goji berry), 5936 nucleotides. RefSeq lists it as uncharacterized. The record is from RefSeq and is a predicted model, not a curated record. NCBI's taxonomy places the organism in Eukaryota, Viridiplantae, Streptophyta, Magnoliopsida, Solanales, Solanaceae. The transcript has 3 exons.